UUACCAUCAUUUAUUCCUUCCAGCCAAUAUUUCCCCAAAGGCUGUCUGUUUAACAGGUCGCCUCCUUUCUUCUGCACCAGGUAUUCUAGCCCCCUUUUUUUGUUUCUCUCGUAUUUUGAUAUUCGUCAUCCUCUGGCAAAUAAGUUAUUAAUGCUUCUAUUUACUCACCGAGCGCAAUCCAUGGCCCGAUGCCCCACUUUGGAUCAUAUUUUCCUUUUCAAAUUCACCCUCCAUUUGUUUAGGGAAAAUAUGAUCCAAAGUGGGGCAUCGGGCCAUGGAUUGGGGUCGGUGAGCAAAUAGAAGCAUUAAUAACUUAUUUGCCAGAGGAUGACGAAUAUCAAAAUACGAGAGAAAAAAAAAAAGGGGGCUAGAAUACCUGGUGCAGAAGAAAGGAGGCGACCUGUUAAACAGACAGCCUUUGGGAAAAUAUUGGCUGGAAGGAAUAAAUGAUGGUAAGGGAAAACUUAUUGAAACUAAACUAAUCCUGCACAAUUCACUAAAUUCACAUGUGGUAAAAUUAACUGUAUGAAGGAUGAACGAAAUUACAUAACAGGUAAAAUUGUAAACAAAAUAAAGUGACAUCUAAUGUGUUGAAAUUAUAGAAAUUUUUGCUUAGCUGUUGAUGGGUUAAAAUUGAAACUUAAUGAAACUUGACAAAUUGAGGUUUAUAGCAGAGUUGAACUUUAUCAUGGACUAAUCAAUAUUUGUCUCUCUCAUUAUCUUAUCAAAAGAGGAUUUCUUUUCAUUUGAAACUUGGUCACCUUAAAAUGUCUAAAGAGGGAACAGGAU
Long non-coding RNA from Poecilia latipinna (sailfin molly), 789 nucleotides. RefSeq lists it as uncharacterized. The record is from RefSeq and is a predicted model, not a curated record. The transcript is spliced from 2 exons. Lineage: Eukaryota; Metazoa; Chordata; Actinopteri; Cyprinodontiformes; Poeciliidae.